GGAGCAUUGGGAAGCGUAUGAUAAGGAAGGGAGAGUCCUAGAGGAGAGGCGGGGUUUAAUCUAACUACUGGGAUCAGGAAAGUGCGGGGAAUUCCAGACUGGGUGCCCAGAAGAAUAAAGAAGACUGCAGCACACUAGAAGACCAGCGGAAGGAGCCAGGAGGGAAACAAGAAGAUGACUUCUAACAAAGUCAGAGCGGACUCAACAGCACCGAAGAAGUUAGCUUUGGACAAGAAGAGGAGGCAAACUGAAGUGCCAGAGAAGAAACGAAAUGUCACAUUCAACUCAAAGGAGUGGGCAGGCUCUUCACCUGAAAACACUCCCCAAAUGUCCCCUUUUUGGGAGGGACGUGAAUGAGCAAAGCAGAGGAUGUGACCAUUUUUUCAGUGGAGUGUUGCUGCUUUGCAGUGGACAAGGAGUUAUCAGGAUGUCUAUGAAAUCUUUGCUUCAGGAUUAAGGGUCCGAAUGAAUGUCUUAGGAAUUGGUAAGGAAAAAUCUCGGAUACAGUUAAUAUCCUGCUGUAGUUUGGUAGACAAAUAAUCUUGCGUAUGCCUAUUUUUCCUGGGUAAAAACUGGUAUACCAAUUUAAAGACAAAUUUUAUUGUCAUGUGAAACUAUUUUUACAUUUGAGAUUAUCAGAGGGAAAUAUAUUAUGGUAAAAAAAAAAAGCAAUACAAGUUUAAAAAAUGUAGUCCCAAAGAAAUAUAUUAUUACAGUGUAACUCCAAAAUUGGUUCUCUCCUUAGUAUAAUAUUAUCUUUCUG
Pteronotus mesoamericanus is the source of this 763-nucleotide long non-coding RNA. RefSeq lists it as uncharacterized. NCBI's taxonomy places the organism in Eukaryota, Metazoa, Chordata, Mammalia, Chiroptera, Mormoopidae. The transcript is spliced from 3 exons. The record is from RefSeq and is a predicted model, not a curated record.